AUUGAACGCUGGCGGCAGGCCUAACACAUGCAAGUCGAGCGCGAAAGUCUUCGGAUGAGUAAAGCGGCGGACGGGUGAGUAAUGCAUGGGAAUCUGCCUGGUAGUGGGGGACAACGUUUCGAAAGAGACGCUAAUACCGCAUACGCCCUACGGGGGAAAGGGGGGGAUCGUCGGACCUCUCGCUAUCAGAUGAGCCCAUGUCAGAUUAGCUAGUUGGUAGGGUAAAGGCCUACCAAGGGGACGAUCUGUAACUGGUCUGAGAGGAUGAUCAGUCACACUGGAACUGAGACACGGUCCAGACUCCUACGGGAGGCAGCAGUGGGGAAUAUUGGACAAUGGGGGAAACCCUGAUCCAGCCAUGCCGCGUGUGUGAAGAAGGCCCUAGGGUUGUAAAGCACUUUCAGUGGGGAGAAAGGUUAUUCACCUAAUACGUGAGUAAAUUGAUGCUACCCACAGAAGAAGCACCGGCUAACUCCGUGCCAGCCGCCGCUAAAA
Molecule: ribosomal RNA, 495 nt
Filed under: uncultured bacterium
Lineage: Bacteria
Description: partial 16S ribosomal RNA
Rfam family: Bacterial small subunit ribosomal RNA
Source: RNAcentral